UGGUCUGGUGGGAUUGAUUGCACCCGAG
This 28-nucleotide small RNA is filed under the name Bombyx mori (domestic silkworm). RNAcentral's name for it is "ovarian small RNA-35167". Lineage: Eukaryota; Metazoa; Arthropoda; Insecta; Lepidoptera; Bombycidae. The record is from RNAcentral.